AGACUAUAUACUUGUUUUGAAGUGGGCAACAUAAAUGUCCUAUUUCAUGUUAUCAAUGUUCUAAAAGGUCAUUUCUGACAACAAAGGUAGGUAUUCAUUAGCUUCACUUUGGACAAUGUGUACAUGUUGGAUAACAAGUUUAGCAUGUAAAAAGCCUUUUUGUUAUCAGGUAAGGAGCAGUCUUCCUCAUUAGUAAUAUCAAGCAAUAAUUCAAUAUACCCUAGGUCCUAUAUUGGAGACUUUGUGAUUUAACACUCAGUGAGUCCCAGGAAGGAGUUCCUAUGACUUCCUCACAUUCAAAUGAGGAAAUUAAGCCAUGGAAAGAUUAAGUAAAUAAUCUAAGAUCUCACAGUAAAAAACAUAAAAAUAGAUCCGAGGCAUAUCUACUCUGGAGCUGGGCAUUCAGGUUGACUAAGAGGUUUAAUGUUUUCUGAACUAUUGGUUAGAGGUAGACAUGCUAUCUGACAUUUUCUCUUCUCAUUCUUCCAUCAGUGUUUGUAGAGUGUACUGAAUCUUGGCUUCUGGUUGAAAUUAGACGAGCACCUCUUGUGGAAAACCUGCAACCUCAGCAUUACGAGCUAUCUCUAGGAAAUGACUGUCCUGUAACCAGAGUGACGAAUGAUAUCUUUGAGUUCCGUUACGCUCUUGAUUUUUGUGGCAUCAUGAAAUACCAACGCCCAUGGGGCAUUCUUAUUGAGAGUUUCGUCAGAUAUCAACCAAUGUUUUUGAAUAUCAGAACUUUCAUCCCAGUAAGAUGCUCCCUUGAAAGGUAAGUCUAGCUGGCUACAGAGAUUAAGGUUCUCUAACAUUUGCUUGGCUGGAAGGUGUUUCCGGUGAGAGUAAAGAUGUUAGAAAAUAUGCUGAGGUCCAGCCCUUAGACCUGUCUGACUGAUGGAUAGUGUUCUGUUCUUUUAUAUGUGUAGAUAUGUCAUAUAAUUAUAUAUAUGUUUAUAUAUAAAGCUGACUGUCUCAAUGUAUUUUAUUAAUAAAAUGAACCUAUUUGUUUCUCUGGUAGCUGAUGGAGAAAUUGUGGUUAAAAAAAUUUUUUUUAAUUUUUAAUUCUUGUGGGUACAUAGUAGGUAUAUAUAUUUAUGGGGUACAUAAGAUGUUUUGAUACAGGAAUGCAUUGCAUAAUAAUCACAUGGAGAAUGGGGUAUCCAUCCCCUCAAGCAUUUAUCCUUUGUGUCACAAUCUAAUUAGUCUCUUUUGCUUAUUUUAAAAUGCACAAUUAAGUUAUUAUUGACUACAGUCACCCUGUUGUGCUAUCAAAUAGUAGGUCUUAUUUAUUUUUUUCUAUUUUUUUGGUAUGCAUUAACCAACCACACCUCCCUGCUCCCCCAACCUACCACUACCUUUCCUGGUCUUUGAUUGCCAUUCUUCUACUCUCUAUGUCCAUGAGUUCAAUUGUUUUGAUUUUUAGAUCCCACAAAUAAGUGAGAACAUGCGAUGUUUGUCUUUCUCUGCCUGUCUCAUUUCACCUAAUGACUUCCAGUUCCAGCCAUGUUGUUGCACAUGAUGGGAUCUUAUUCUUUUUUUUAUGGCUGAAUAGUACUCCAUUGUGUAUAUGUACCACAUUGCCUUUAUCCAUCCACCUGGAUAAAAUGGACACUUAAGUUGCUUCCAAAUCUUAGCUAUUGUGAACAGUGCUGCAACAAACAUGGGAGUGUAGAUAUCUCUUCA
Macaca mulatta (Rhesus monkey) is the source of this 1680-nucleotide long non-coding RNA. NCBI's taxonomy places the organism in Eukaryota, Metazoa, Chordata, Mammalia, Primates, Cercopithecidae. The record is from Ensembl.